CUUUGUCAAUGUCUAGCUUCCUCAGUCUCCAACCAUGGGGAUCCCAGUGAUUAAUGCCAAAGCCCCAUUGCCUGGGGAGAGGGUGAUGUUUGACUUCCUUGUACAGCUGCAGUUUGUGUGGUGAAGGUGCUCCCACAAUGUGGUUGGGUGGACAUUCAGAUGGUAACCUUAGUCAUUGUAACACCAAACUCUGACA
This is a long non-coding RNA of Hemiscyllium ocellatum (epaulette shark), 196 nucleotides long. RefSeq lists it as uncharacterized. NCBI's taxonomy places the organism in Eukaryota, Metazoa, Chordata, Chondrichthyes, Orectolobiformes, Hemiscylliidae. The transcript is spliced from 3 exons. The record is from RefSeq and is a predicted model, not a curated record.